CUGACAUGUGUGCAAGUCAACGGGCGAGUAAACCCGUAAGGCAUAAGGAAGCUGAUUGGUGGGAUCCCCCUGAGGGGUGCACCUCCGACCGACCUUGAUCUUCUGUGAAGGGUUCGAGUGUGAGCAUACCUGUCGGGACCCGAAAGAUGGUGAACUAUGCCUGAGCGGGGCGAAGCCAGAGGAAAUUCUUGUGGAGGCCCGCAGCGAUACUGACGUGCAAAUCGUUCAUCUGACUUGGGUAUAGGGGCGAAAGACUAAUCGAACCGUCUAGUAGCUGG
Ribosomal RNA from Nicotiana attenuata, 278 nucleotides. It matches the Rfam family "Eukaryotic large subunit ribosomal RNA", at positions 675 to 954 of the family's 3401-position model. The record is from Rfam. Lineage: Eukaryota; Viridiplantae; Streptophyta; Magnoliopsida; Solanales; Solanaceae.